This 468-nucleotide ribosomal RNA is filed under the name uncultured bacterium. Its description in RNAcentral is "partial 16S ribosomal RNA". It matches the Rfam family "Bacterial small subunit ribosomal RNA", at positions 28 to 507 of the family's 1533-position model. The record is from RNAcentral.
GACGAACGCUGGCGGCGUGCUUAACACAUGCAAGUCGAACGGAAAGGCCCUGCUUUUGUGGGGUGCUCGAGUGGCGAACGGGUGAGUAACACGUGAGUAACCUGCCCUUGACUUUGGGAUAACUUCAGGAAACUGGGGCUAAUACCGGAUAGGAGCUCCUGCUGCAUGGUGGGGGUUGGAAAGUUUCGGCGGUUGGGGAUGGACUCGCGGCUUAUCAGCUUGUUGGUGGGGUAGUGGCUUACGAAGGCUUUGACGGGUAGCCGGCCUGAGAGGGUGACCGGCCACAUUGGGACUGAGAUACGGCCCAGACUCCUACGGGAGGCAGCAGUGGGGAAUAUUGCACAAUGGGCGGAAGCCUGAUGCAGCAACGCCGCGUGCGGGAUGAAGGCCUUCGGGUUGUAAACCGCUUUCGCCUGUGACGAAGCGUGAGUGACGGUAAUGGGUAAAGAAGCACCGGCUAACUACGUG